GACUAUGGCCACACCACCCUGAAUGCACAUGAUCUCAUCUGAUCUCAGAAAAGGCUCAAGGAGGAGAAGGAAAAUUUUUCCUUUGGCCAUGAACC
Microcebus murinus (gray mouse lemur) is the source of this 95-nucleotide ribosomal RNA. Lineage: Eukaryota; Metazoa; Chordata; Mammalia; Primates; Cheirogaleidae. The record is from Ensembl.